This 496-nucleotide ribosomal RNA is filed under the name uncultured bacterium. Its description in RNAcentral is "partial 16S ribosomal RNA". It matches the Rfam family "Bacterial small subunit ribosomal RNA", at positions 28 to 506 of the family's 1533-position model. The record is from RNAcentral.
GAUGAACGCUGGCGGCGUGCCUAAUACAUGCAAGUCGAGCGAACGGACGAGAAGCUUGCUUCUCUGAUGUUAGCGGCGGACGGGUGAGUAACACGUGGAUAACCUACCUAUAAGACUGGGAUAACUUCGGGAAACCGGAGCUAGUACCGGAUAAUAUUUUGAACCGCAUGGUUCAAAAGUGAAAGACGGUCUUGCUGUCACUUAUAGAUGGAUCCGCGCUGCAUUAGCUAGUUGGUAAGGUAACGGCUUACCAAGGCAACGAUGCAUAGCCGACCUGAGAGGGUGAUCGGCCACACUGGAACUGAGACACGGUCCAGACGCCUACGGGAGGCAGCAGUAGGGAAUCUUCCGCAAUGGGCGAAAGCCUGACGGAGCAACGCCGCGUGAGUGAUGAAGGUCUUCGGAUCGUAAAACUCUGUUAUUAGGGAAGAACAUAUGUGUAAGUAACUGUGCACAUCUUGACGGUACCUAAUCAGAAAGCCACGGCUAACUACGU